AUCCAGGGGGUGACUGGUUUCGACUUCGUACGUGGAGACAGGGGAAGCGAGCCGAGGAAGCCGACGUCGUCUCGAGAAUCGGUCGUCGGAAACUUAUAAGCGCCAACUCUAAGUUUGACGCUGACCAGUACGCUCUCGCCGCCUGAGGCAAGUAGCGUGGUCUGUCGGUCUGGGAGCGCCUCCGUCCCAGCUGCCGGCAUAAGCUAGGAGGCUGGCCAACCGGUCCCGGUCACGGGGACCGCGCGGCGAGAUUAAUCAGUGACUGGGCCCGUCGUCCGAACUUGCUCACGUGAGUCGGAGGGCCGAGUAGGGACAUAGUGAGCUGCGCUCGGAGAAGCCCUGACAAAACAACGAAGGACCCGGGUUCGAUUCCCGGCACCUCCA
This 384-nucleotide transfer-messenger RNA is filed under the name Actinoplanes sp. SE50/110. It matches the Rfam family "transfer-messenger RNA". Rfam says of the family: Bacterial tmRNA, also known as 10Sa RNA or SsrA, is named for its dual tRNA and mRNA-like properties. Its role is to liberate the mRNA from a stalled ribosome. The record is from RNAcentral. Lineage: Bacteria; Bacillati; Actinomycetota; Actinomycetes; Micromonosporales; Micromonosporaceae.